GAUGAGACAAUUCGUGAUGGAAGUGACGAAAGCACGGCCAACUCAAUUGCGAUAGAAAAAGUGCUCGGAAAAAGCAAAGGGCUUGGAAUUAAGAUUGCAACCACCACAAAGAGUUCAAAGUCGAGAUUUUCUUCAAUUCCGCCGGAAGUGCAAAUGGAAAUGAAUUCAAUGAAAGAGCAAAUGCAACUUAAAGAUGAAAAAAUGGAAAGAUUGGAAGCGGAAUUGAAAGAAACCCGAGAAAUUGUGAACACCUUAGUCGGUCGUUUUGGACUACAAGCCUCGACAUCGACUCCUUCCAAUGAUGGUGGAGUAUAAAAAGGGAUGAAUUUUGUUUGGUUUUUGAAUUAAAGUUUGAAACACUACAUUAUAUGCUUUUAAGUUUUUAUGUACUUUUUUAAUUUAUGUUUUGUGCUACCUUGA
RNAcentral lists this long non-coding RNA (420 nucleotides) under Erythranthe guttata (spotted monkey flower). RNAcentral's name for it is "long non-coding RNA (EGUT_LNC001175)". The record is from RNAcentral. Lineage: Eukaryota; Viridiplantae; Streptophyta; Magnoliopsida; Lamiales; Phrymaceae.